UGGUCCUUGCGGUAAUCUGGGUAUGUAUUUCGAGAAUGGGAACAGGUGGUUGGUUCUGAGCGACCACCCGUUCUUGGUUGUCUUUGUCAAAGCACAAAAGCUCACGGAUAUCCCUGGCCGAACCUGGAGUCCCAUGAAAUAAGGGUUUUAUGUCCGAGUGCCUGUUAUGUGUUUCGGUACAAGGAGUGUCAAACAAAAUAAGGGCUUUACAUCUGAGUAGGGCUUUAUGUCCGAGUGUCUGAUGUGUGUUUAGGUAUGAGGAGCGUCAUGAAAUAAGGGCUUUAUGUCCGAGUGUUUGCUAAUGUAUCAGUGCAUGGAGUGUUUUGAAAU
This 330-nucleotide unclassified non-coding RNA is filed under the name Hevea brasiliensis (rubber tree). Lineage: Eukaryota; Viridiplantae; Streptophyta; Magnoliopsida; Malpighiales; Euphorbiaceae. The record is from RNAcentral.